AGAGUUUGAUCCUGGCUCAGGAUGAACGCUAGCGACAGGCUUAACACAUGCAAGUCGAGGGGCAGCGGGGGUAGCGAUACCCGCCGGCGACCGGCGCACGGGUGAGUAACGCGUAUGCAACUUACCUAUCAGAGGGGGAUAACCCGGCGAAAGUCGGACUAAUACCGCAUGAAGCAGGGGCCCCGCAUGGGGAUAUUUGCUAAAGAUUCAUCGCUGAUAGAUAGGCAUGCGUUCCAUUAGGCAGUUGGCGGGGUAACGGCCCACCAAACCGACGAUGGAUAGGGGUUCUGAGAGGAAGGUCCCCCACAUUGGUACUGAGACACGGACCAAACUCCUACGGGAGGCAGCAGUGAGGAAUAUUGGUCAAUGGGCGUAAGCCUGAACCAGCCAAGUCGCGUGAGGGAUGAAGGUUCUAUGGAUCGUAAACCUCUUUUAUAAGGGAAUAAAGUGCGGGACGUGUCCCGUUUUGUAUGUACCUUAUGAAUAAGGAUCAGCUAACUCCGUGCCAGCAGCCGCGGUAAUACGGAGGAUCCGAGCGUUAUCCGGAUUUAUUGGGUUUAAAGGGUGCGUAGGCGGCCUUUUAAGUCAGCGGUGAAAGUCUGUGGCUCAACCAUAGAAUUGCCGUUGAAACUGGGGGGCUUGAGUAUGUUUGAGGCAGGCGGAAUGCGUGGUGUAGCGGUGAAAUGCUUAGAUAUCACGCAGAACCCCGAUUGCGAAGGCAGCCUGCCAAGCCAUGACUGACGCUGAUGCACGAAAGCGUGGGGAUCAAACAGGAUUAGAUACCCUGGUAGUCCACGCAGUAAACGAUGAUCACUAGCUGUUUGCGAUACACUGUAAGCGGCACAGCGAAAGCGUUAAGUGAUCCACCUGGGGAGUACGCCGGCAACGGUGAAACUCAAAGGAAUUGACGGGGGCCCGCACAAGCGGAGGAACAUGUGGUUUAAUUCGAUGAUACGCGAGGAACCUUACCCGGGUUUGAACGCAUUCGGACCGAGGUGGAAACACCUUUUCUAGCAAUAGCCGUUUGCGAGGUGCUGCAUGGUUGUCGUCAGCUCGUGCCGUGAGGUGUCGGCUUAAGUGCCAUAACGAGCGCAACCCUUGCCACUAGUUACUAACAGGUUAGGCUGAGGACUCUGGUGGGACUGCCAGCGUAAGCUGCGAGGAAGGCGGGGAUGACGUCAAAUCAGCACGGCCCUUACAUCCGGGGCGACACACGUGUUACAAUGGCGUGGACAAAGGGAUGCCACCUGGCGACAGGGAGCGAAUCCCCAAACCACGUCUCAGUUCGGAUCGGAGUCUGCAACCCGACUCCGUGGAGCUGGAUUCGCUAGUAAUCGCGCAUCAGCCAUGGCGCGGUGAAUACGUUCCCGGGCCUUGUACACACCGCCCGUCAAGCCAUGGGAGCCGGGGGUACCUGAAGUCCGUAACCGCGAGGAUCGGCCUAGGGUAAAACUGGUGACUGGGGCUAAGUCGUAACAAGGUAGCC
This 1486-nucleotide ribosomal RNA is filed under the name uncultured bacterium. RNAcentral's name for it is "16S ribosomal RNA". It matches the Rfam family "Bacterial small subunit ribosomal RNA". The record is from RNAcentral.